This 198-nucleotide unclassified non-coding RNA is filed under the name uncultured Agaricomycetes. RNAcentral's name for it is "sequence contains ITS2". Lineage: Eukaryota; Fungi; Basidiomycota; Agaricomycetes. The record is from RNAcentral.
UAUUCUCAACCUCGAUAACUUUUUGUUAACGAGGCUUGGACUUGGAGGUCGUGCUGGCUCUCGUUAGUCAGCUCCUCUCAAAUGCAUUAGCGUGAACGUUACGGAUCGCUAUCAGUGUGAUAAUUAUCUGCGCUGUUAGUGUUGAAGUAUGUUAAGCUUGCGCUUCUAACCGUCCUUCAGUUGGACACUUACUUGACA